RNAcentral lists this ribosomal RNA (254 nucleotides) under uncultured bacterium. RNAcentral describes it as "partial small subunit ribosomal RNA". It matches the Rfam family "Bacterial small subunit ribosomal RNA", at positions 26 to 286 of the family's 1533-position model. The record is from RNAcentral.
AGGACGAACGCUGGCGGCGUGCUUAACACAUGCAAGUCGAGCGGAAAGGCCCUUCGGGGUACUCGAGCGGCGAACGGGUGAGUAACACGUGAGCAACCUGCCCUUAGCUCUGGGAUAGCUCCGGGAAACCGGAAUUAAUACCGGAUACGACCUAGGCCGACAUCGGCCAUGGUGGAAAGUUUUUCGGCUAGGGAUGGACUCGCGGCCUAUCAGCUAGUUGGUGGGGUAAAGCCUACCAAGGCGACGACGGGUAG